Molecule: ribosomal RNA, 254 nt
Filed under: uncultured bacterium
Lineage: Bacteria
Description: partial 16S ribosomal RNA
Rfam family: Bacterial small subunit ribosomal RNA
Source: RNAcentral
CACGUGGGGUGCGAGCGUUGUCCGGAAUUAUUGGGCGUAAAGAGCUCGUAGGCGGUGUGUCGCGUCGGCCGUGAAAACCUGCAGCUUAACUGUGGGCUUGCGGUCGAUACGGGCAUCACUGGAGUUCGGCAGGGGAGACUGGAAUUCCUGGUGUAGCGGUGAAAUGCGCAGAUAUCAGGAAGAACACCCGUGGCGAAAGCGGCUCUCUGGAACGGUACUGACGCUGAGACGCGAAAGCGUGGGGAGCAAACAGG